This 245-nucleotide ribosomal RNA is filed under the name uncultured Oscillospiraceae bacterium. RNAcentral describes it as "partial 16S ribosomal RNA". It matches the Rfam family "Bacterial small subunit ribosomal RNA", at positions 796 to 1041 of the family's 1533-position model. Lineage: Bacteria; Bacillati; Bacillota; Clostridia; Eubacteriales; Oscillospiraceae. The record is from RNAcentral.
CACGCUGUAAACGAUGAAUACUAGGUGUGGGGGGACUGACCCCUUCCGUGCCGCAGUUAACACAAUAAGUAUUCCACCUGGGGAGUACGGCCGCAAGGUUGAAACUCAAAGGAAUUGACGGGGGCCCGCACAAGCAGUGGAUUAUGUGGUUUAAUUCGAAGCAACGCGAAGAACCUUACCAGGUCUUGACAUCGUGCGCAUACUACAGAGAUGUGGGAAGCCCUUCGGGGCGCACAGACAGGUGG